GUCAGGAUGGCCGAGCGGUCUAAGGCGCCAGACUCAAGCGAGAGCUUCUCGUGAUUUCGCGAGAUGUGUGAAUUCUGGUCCACGAAUGUGGGCGUGGGUUCAAAUCCCACUUCUGACA
This is a non-coding RNA of Strigamia maritima, 118 nucleotides long. The record is from Rfam. Lineage: Eukaryota; Metazoa; Arthropoda; Chilopoda; Geophilomorpha; Linotaeniidae.